UCCAAGCCUAGGUCGGUUAAAUCAGAAUGCAAGUCGAGUCCUAGUACAAUAGGGACUCUCGACGAGAUCAAUAAACUAGAAAGUGAAUCCGGCUCAGUUAAGGACUAGAUUCGUAGUCCUAGCGGAGAUAGGACUGAUCGAGGUAAUGUUAAUCCGGAGAAGGAAACCUAGUUCGAAUAGAAUUGGAACUCGGGCUCGGUGUUCUGCUACUAUAAAUACAAGACAUUCAGCAACGGAAGAGACCCCUGCAAAUCAAUACAAAAUUGCCCUGCGCAAAUUCUCACAACUUUGUGAUUUUUCUUUUUCCUUUUUUCGCUGACACAUCUUCCAUUGGCAUCAACAGCACUGUGGAAGCAACCGGUGAUAUCUUAAGUCGGCAUAGAUAGCUCUGUCACCGUAGAGUUAAUCGGUCUCGCAGUAUCUUCCGUUGGCAUCAACAGCACUGCGGCGAGAAUGGUUGAUUACCUAUCCAAGUCUCGGUCAAGAAGGGUUUCUAAAUCCUUAUUGGUCGAGGUCAUCUCAUCAGCCUUCUCGGCGGAGUGAGGUGUUACAGUUAUUACAUUCGGCACAUUGAAAGCCGAAUUUGAUAUUGAACUUCGUAAGAAUAGUAA
RNAcentral lists this long non-coding RNA (611 nucleotides) under Malus domestica (apple). Its description in RNAcentral is "long non-coding RNA (MDOM_LNC018653)". Lineage: Eukaryota; Viridiplantae; Streptophyta; Magnoliopsida; Rosales; Rosaceae. The record is from RNAcentral.